UUUCAUUUCUCCCUUUGUAUCUAUUUUUGGAUCAUGUAUCACCAUCCUGAGGUUCCCAAGUGUGACAAUUUUAUGCUUACUGUCAGAUUUUCUGUUGAUUAUAGAAGUCCAUCUCGCCAGAAUGAUAAGUGAGCUGAGAUAUGGUCCACUUAACCUUGAACUUGCAACUCAACUCCAGUGUCAGCUGAGGACUCUGAAGCCCUCCAACACUUCAAAUGAAUCUAGAGAGAACACGAAGCUCCAGCCAUGUUCCAGCGGAACCUGGACCACACAGACUCACGACCCACAUUAA
Molecule: long non-coding RNA, 292 nt
Filed under: Fukomys damarensis (Damara mole-rat)
Lineage: Eukaryota; Metazoa; Chordata; Mammalia; Rodentia; Bathyergidae
Description: lncRNA (ENSFDAG00000026333.1)
Source: RNAcentral